UGGGGAAUUUUGCGCAGUGGGCGAAAGCCUGACGCAGCGACGCCGCGUGUGCGAUGAAGGCCUUUGGGUCGUAAAGCACUGUCGAGAGGGACGAAAACCCAUCGGGGAUAAUACGGUGGGCUUGACGGUACCUCUAAAGGAAGCACCGGCUAACUCUGUG
Molecule: ribosomal RNA, 160 nt
Filed under: uncultured bacterium
Lineage: Bacteria
Description: partial 16S ribosomal RNA
Rfam family: Bacterial small subunit ribosomal RNA
Source: RNAcentral